GAUGAACGCUGGCGGCGUGCCUAAUACAUGCAAGUCGAGCGAACGGACGAGAAGCUUGCUUCUCUGAUGUUAGCGGCGGACGGGUGAGUAACACGUGGAUCACCUACCUAUAAGACUGGGAUAAUUUCGGGAAACCGGAUCUAAUACCGGAUAAUAUUUUGAUCCGCAUGGUUCAAAAGUAAAUUUCGGUCUUGCUGUCUCUUCUAGAUGCAUCCGCGCUGCAUUAUCUAGUUGGUAAGUUAACGGCUUACCAAGGCAACGAUGCAUAGCCGACCUGAGAGGGGGAUCGGCCACAAGAGAACGGAGACACGGUCCAGACUCCUGAGGGAGGCAGCAGUAGGGAAUCUUACGCAAUGGGCGAGAGCCUGAAGGAGCAACGCCGCGUGAGUGAUGAAAGUGUUCGGAGCGUAAAAAUCGGUUAUUAUGGAAGAACAUAUGUGUAAGUAAAUGUGCACAUCGUGACGGUACCUAAUCAGAAAGCCACGGCUAACUACGUG
This 497-nucleotide ribosomal RNA is filed under the name uncultured bacterium. Its description in RNAcentral is "partial 16S ribosomal RNA". It matches the Rfam family "Bacterial small subunit ribosomal RNA", at positions 28 to 507 of the family's 1533-position model. The record is from RNAcentral.